CGAAGGAUCCAAGCGUUAUCCGGAUUUAUUGGGUUUAAAGGGUGCGUAGGCGGGCUAUUAAGUCAGUGGUGAAAUCCUGCAGCUUAACUGUAGAAUUGCCAUUGAUACUGAUGGUCUUGAGUACACUUGAGGUGGGCGGAAUGUGUCAUGUAGCGGUGAAAUGCUUAGAUAUGACACAGAACACCGAUUGCGAAGGCAGCUCACUAAAUUGUAACUGACGCUGAGGCACGAAAGCGUGGGGAUCAAACAGGAUUAGAUACCCUGGUAGCCCACGCCCUAAACGAUGAUUACUCGAUGUGUGCAAUAUACCGUACGCGUCUGAGCGAAAGCAUUAAGUAAUCCACCUGGGGAGUACGACCGCAAGGUUG
This 368-nucleotide ribosomal RNA is filed under the name uncultured organism. RNAcentral describes it as "bacterial SSU rRNA". It matches the Rfam family "Bacterial small subunit ribosomal RNA", at positions 526 to 896 of the family's 1533-position model. The record is from RNAcentral.